This 3632-nucleotide long non-coding RNA is filed under the name Olea europaea subsp. europaea. Lineage: Eukaryota; Viridiplantae; Streptophyta; Magnoliopsida; Lamiales; Oleaceae. The record is from RNAcentral.
UGUUGUUAUUGAUGAAAGGAAAAUUUGAGAUCAUACUGUUCUCUUAUGUAUGAUUAUUGAAAUGUAUUUGUGUAUAAGUCUCAUUUUGGAACAAGAAAUCUAUGCUUUAAAACUCCCACCGGAGAACAGGUGCAAUUUUAAAAUGUUGGGAUCCCAUUUAUUAACUCGGUUGAGAACAGAAAAGAAGAUUCAAUAUUUGAGAUCUUUUCCUAUAGUCUAUUUGAAUGUUUGUUUGCUUUUUUUAAUUUCUCUUUCAUUUUCUUAGAUUGUUCAGUCUAUUUCAAUCCUACUGGAGUCGCUGGUUUGGUUUCUUCAGAUUGCGUUCGACCACUAUGUUUGGCUUAUAGAUUUACAGGUCAUUUGCAUCUCUGUUCUUUGUACGAGCUUUUUUUUGUGAAUUUAAAAAGCAUUUGGAACUCCUUUAUUACUUUGAGUGGGAGAGGGUUUCUUGGGUGCUUACAAUUGUUCAACGUUGAACUUCUGACAUGAAAAGAUAUCGUUUAAGCUGUGCUAUUUCUCUAUGCUGGAAGCUGGUUUUUAUUGCAUUUUGGCUAGCCAUCGAAGCAAAAGAAAAAUUUCUUUGACAUCGUAGGCCGGAGAAUAUAUUUGACUAAUGGAAGUUAACAAUAAUCAAAGAAGGUUGCAUGCAUGUCAAUGAUGUCAUAGCAUUUGAAGUGGUGUAUUCAGUUGGUUGUCAGGCCAACAGUGAAUAGAUGAUAGUUGCUUGUCCUCUGCUAUUGUUAUUUGGGUAUUUUUCUGAAGUUAGCUAGCAUUUUUUGAAGAUUUUUGUAUGUCAGUUGACACAUUUUUGAAUCAUCUUCGUAUCUGAAGUUGUAAUACCUCGGGUGAUUCUCCGAGAGUUUGUUGGAUGAUUUAUAGAUCAUGACUAUCUUAUCUACUCUUGUUGGCUGGGCAAUUCCAGAUCUGGUAAGAGUGAUUUACAAAUUCAUAUUUUCCAAGGGACCUGAUGCUGUAAACUCUGAUGCUCGGACUCUUGGAAAUAGUCGGAGUACCCGUGUCGAACACGACACGACAUGGGUAUGGGUAUGAGAUAUGGGUCAGAUCCUCCAAAUUUCAACCGGACGCUUCGUCGUUUUCACUUCUUCUUUCUUUUUCCUUUUUUUCUCUUUUCGUUUACUUUCCCUUUUCUUCUUUCCUGUUUUCGCUCUCUAGAAACUUAACGUCGCCGUCGAGAGGGUGGAGAAUGACGGCAGCUCUAGGUUUUCCUUCUUUUUCUUCUUCUUUCUUUUUUCUUUCAUUUCUUCUUUUUUCCUUCUCUCUUUAUAACGGUGGUUUAGGGUUUCGUUUGUAUAAAAUUAAAAUGGGUUCCAUAUAAUGCUACUUAGUGCUCCACUAAGUCCAAAUUGUAAUUAAAUCUCUAAUUUUCUAUUUAUAUUACAUUUAGUAAUUCCCAUGAUUAAAAACUAAACCUCAAAAUUCUAUUUUAUUUAUCAUAAUCUCUUAUUCAAUACCCAUUUCUUUCUUUGUUAAUAAUUUAUUUUGGUCUAUUCAAAAUGACAUUUUGGAUUAGUAAAAAAAUUGAAGUUUAAAAGACAUCUACGUACCCGUGUUCGAAAUUUGGACUCUUUUUAGCCAUAUUCCCGUAUUCUACAUUUUAACAAAUAAAAUAUCUGACACUUAGAUACAUACCCGUAUCCGAGUCCGAGCAUUAUAGGCUGUAAAGAUAUUAGAUACAUUUGCUCAAUUUAAUCCAGAUGUUAUACCACCUGAUAUUUGACAAACUUUAACUGUUUAAAUAUUUUUUUCUUGUAAGGUGCAAUAAAAGAGCUCUUGAUAAUAGUAUUAAAAAUGAUUUCCCUCCGUCCCCUCUUCCGUCACUUUAAGCCAUGUAUUUGCUUUUCAGUGGCCCAUUGAAUCCAUUUAUUAAAUUGUUAAUUCUUGUAUUUCCAGUUCAUCCUAUGCUUCCAUUACACCAGUAGUUCUCAAGUCAUUAUAAAUGCUGAUGCUAUUUGAAUGUUCAGCCAAGCUUUUUUGUCCUGCGCGUUUACAUCGUCAAAUGUGGUUGCUUUUUAGGAUUGGACAAAGAUCAACAGGAUACUGAGAGAAAUAUAUAUUUAUAUCUAUAUUUCUUUCGGACACAAAAUCUCCAUUCUUCUUUGCAUGAUAGUUAUUAUCAGUUGUCAUAGUUUUAUGAUUUGCUCACUGGUGUACGGCAAUUUUAAAUUAUAUAGCUCUCCUGUAAGUGGACUCGUCUUGGUAUUCGUCAAAUAUCUAUUCUUUUUUAAAUGUGUUCUUGAUAGAGAGAACUAAUGCAGGGAAGGAGAAACCUUCUAUAAAUUGGGAGACUCGGAUGCAAAUUACUCUAGGUUCUGCAAAUGGAUUGACAUAUCUGCAUGACACGAGUGGGUUUUUCCACGCACAGUUCUCUUUACCAUAUUUUUCUUUGAUUAAUUGAGUAGGGUUGUAAUCACUUAAAUUUUGAAGUAUAUCAAUACUUGCAGGUCAACGAUUAUACACUGUUAUAUGAAAUUUGCUAACAUUCUUCUUGACCACAAAUUUGAAGCCAAGGUAUGAGUAUAUGUAUUAUAUUUCUUCGAAAAUAAAGAAGUUACCUCUUAAAUUUAUUCUUUUUGCGAUUUACAUGUCCUAUAAUACUAUACUAUAAAACAUUGCACUCUGCCAAAGGAUUUUUUUUCAUUAGUACAAGAAUUGUGUAAUAUUUCCUAAUGAGAAGCACUCUUAGUUAAGCACAUACCUUAUUCCCAAUCUAUUGAGUUCGACUCAUAAAUCCUUUUACCCCACUACGGUUUCCGUCUUUCAUCAAAAGAUCCAAUAAAUCAAACUAUUUGCAAACACAUUAGCUCUUAUAAAUUCCUCUUCCUCUUCCUAUUCCUCCUCCUGUUUGUAUCAUAUCAUUAUUAUUUAAAUGAAAGACAUUGUUUAGAUGAAUGCAUUUAAUAUCUGCCUGACACGUUAUCACUUAUUUUGGGUGUCAUUCUGGUUAUAUGGUAUUAGUCAAUCCAUAAAAUCUCUUAUGCCAAACCUCUAUUCAAGGCAGGAAAGACAAAUUGCUCCACUUUCCUUCGGCUUUAUAAGAAAAAAUAGUUAGGUUUUGUUUCUUUGCUUCAUUCUGAGAAGUAGAAUAUGAGAAACAACUCAAAUAAACACACAUUUUUCUAAUUAUAGACAAAAUAAGAUGUUUAGGAUUUUGAUACCUUCAUUGAAGUAUGUGCAGUGAAAAUGGCUGCAAAGAUUUUACAUUCUUUCACCAGAGAUAAUUCAGAAUUGCAAAAGCAAAUAGGAUAUAUGACAAGCAUCUUUCGAUUGUUCGAUCGGCAGUCUGUUCUUAUUGGGAGGCGCAUCUUUGGCCACAACUCAAAGGGGCUGUUGAUAGGCCCAGUUAAAUAUACUUAUUCUAGAAGGGUCAAGAAGAUUGGAAAAGGGCAGGGGCUGCAACAAACAACUAUGACAAUGUAGUUACUUGUAGUUUGGUGGUUUACUUUAAAACUGACUUUAGUGGAUGCUUCAUUUAUUUAAAGGAAUAAGAGUGGUGAAUUUGAGCUUUUCACUUAUUAUUUACUUCAGUACUUUCAUUUUGCAAAUUGAAGGGUUGUAUAUUGGAUGAAUGGUGAAUUUGAUACUGUAUAAAUCUAUUUUGCAGGCAUGUUAGC